GUGCCAGCCGCCGCGGUAAUACGUAGGUGGCAAGCGUUAUCCGGAAUUAUUGGGCGUAAAGCGCGCGUAGGCGGUUUUUUAAGUCUGAUGUGAAAGCCCACGGCUCAACCGUGGAGGGUCAUUGGAAACCGGAAAACUUGAGUGCAGAAGAGGAAAGUGGAAUUCCAUGUGUAGCGGUGAAAUGCGCAGAGAUAUGGAGGAACACCAGUGGCGAAGGCGACUUUCUGGUCUGUAACUGACGCUGAUGUGCGAAAGCGUGGGGAUCAAACAGGAUUAGAUACCCUGGUAGUCAAGGGCG
RNAcentral lists this ribosomal RNA (298 nucleotides) under uncultured Staphylococcus sp. RNAcentral's name for it is "partial 16S ribosomal RNA". It matches the Rfam family "Bacterial small subunit ribosomal RNA", at positions 505 to 802 of the family's 1533-position model. Lineage: Bacteria; Bacillati; Bacillota; Bacilli; Caryophanales; Staphylococcaceae. The record is from RNAcentral.